CUUUGCAAUGUGCGAAAGCACGACAAGGUUAAUCCGAGUGGUUUCUGCUAAAGGAACCUUUUGUCGGUCCUAGAAGCACCGAUGAAUAAGGGGUGGGCAAGUUCUGGUGUCAGCCGCCGCGGUAAAACCAGCACCUCAAGUGGUCAGGAUGAUUAUUGGGCCUAAAGCAUCCGUAGCCGGCUCUGUUAGUUUUCGGUUAAAUCUGUACGCUCAACGUACAGGCUGCCGGGAAUACUGCAGAGCUAGGGAGUGGGAGAGGUAGACGGUACUCGGUAGGAAGGGGUAAAUCCUUUGAUCUAUUGAUGACCACCUGUGGCGAAGGCGGUCUACCAGAACACGUCCGACGGUGAGGGGAUAGAAAGCGGU
This 366-nucleotide ribosomal RNA is filed under the name uncultured Nitrososphaerota archaeon. Its description in RNAcentral is "bacterial SSU rRNA". It matches the Rfam family "Archaeal small subunit ribosomal RNA", at positions 348 to 715 of the family's 1478-position model. The record is from RNAcentral. Lineage: Archaea; Thermoproteati; Nitrososphaerota.